UUUAAACCCUAAAUAUGAUUUAGUUUCUUAUAUUA
Molecule: transfer RNA, 35 nt
Filed under: Orobdella naraharaetmagarum
Lineage: Eukaryota; Metazoa; Annelida; Clitellata; Hirudinida; Orobdellidae
Description: partial tRNA-Leu
Source: RNAcentral